GUCAAAACAGUUCUAAUCAGACCCAGAUUCAAAGGGAGGAGAAAUAGACACCACAUCUAAAUGGGAGAUGUUUCAAAGACUUUGUGACCAUCUAUAAUUUGCCACAGAUGGUAAAAUCGAUGUGUGAAAUAGGAAUGCAGAAAAAAAAAUUAAAAAAAGAUGAGCAAACUGCAUCAAAAUAUUUUGUUAAUAUAGAAGAAUGAGUAAUUUAAAAAACAGAAUAGAAUAGGUUCAUUGCUGGUAAUGAUAAGAAGCUUAAGUUGAUCAAGCAUAUGAAAUUAUAGUUCCAAGUAGCCAAGUGACGAAGGUUCUUAUCAGAGCUAACAGAGGACAACAAGGCAUGGCUGAUAGCCCAGAGCCUCUUAUUUGGGUAUAGAUGUGAUGGUGCAUUAUUGAGUUAGUUAUUGAUUAUCAUAUAAUAAAUUACCCCAAGAAAAAGUUAUCUUUUUGCAGUUUGGGUGAAUCAAACUUUACUCGCUAGUAGUGGCUCAAGAUUUCUCCAGGAGUUGUAGUUAGAUGGUCUGCAGGACUGUAGUCUCAUUUGAAGGCAUGACUUCCAAGAUGACUCGUGUACUUGUUGUCAGGGGUCUUCUGUUCCUUGCUACAUUGGACUAUUCAGACAUAGCUCCCCCAGAACAAGUGAUCCAAGAAGAGGGUAAUAUCCAAAUAAUAAGCUGAAGAUUUUUACAAGAUAAUCUUGGAGGUGACAUGCUAUUGUCUGAAUGCUAUUGGUGACAUAGACUGACCCUGGUACAAGGUAGGACAGGAUCUACCAAGGAUGCAAGGAGAGGAUGCAUAAGUCACAGGAUCCAAAGAAUAAAGGCAAUCUUGCCUUCCUCUCCUGUCACAUGUAGAAGCUCAUAUCUUAUGCAAGAGACAGGCUUUUCAAGAAAUUUAAUCUCAAAUUAAAAGAGUAGAACUUGAGAAGGUACACGAACUCUUAAGACAGGCUUCUCACUGCCUGUAAAAAUUCUGUCACAUGAUGGCUUCAUAGCUGGGGUUAACCAAAAUCUAUAUGAACCCACUAUAAACAUUAUCCUAAUCAAAACAUGGACUGGCAAAUUCCCAGUGGCCUGGUUAGACAAGCACUUUAAAAAUAUGAUACCAAAAGCAUAAUGAAAUGAAAAAUAAAGUGAGCCUUACUAAAAUAAAAGCCUUACUAAAAUAAUUUUUUUUUCUUUGCAAAAACAAUAAUAUGCAGAAUUUUAAAAAUAAAACAUACAGGGAGGAAAUUUUUGUCAAUUAUAUUUCUGACAAAGUUCUUAAAUCCAG
This 1272-nucleotide long non-coding RNA is filed under the name Marmota monax (woodchuck). Lineage: Eukaryota; Metazoa; Chordata; Mammalia; Rodentia; Sciuridae. The record is from RNAcentral.